UGAGGAACAUGACCUUCGGCGGGGGAUAGCCGGCCCAACGGCCGGGUAAUACCGCGUACGACCACAUGGGGACAUCCCUGAGUGGUGAAAGCAGCAAUGCGCCGAUGGAGUGCCUCGCGGCCUAUCAGCUAGUUGGUGAGGUAACGCUCACCAAGGCGACGACGGGUAGCCGCUGAGGAGGGUCGACCGGCCACACGUGGGACUGAGACACCGGCCCAAGACCUCCCGUAACGGGGGAGGNAACGCG
This 247-nucleotide ribosomal RNA is filed under the name uncultured bacterium. RNAcentral describes it as "partial 16S ribosomal RNA". It matches the Rfam family "Bacterial small subunit ribosomal RNA", at positions 118 to 347 of the family's 1533-position model. The record is from RNAcentral.